GCGGAUAUGGCGGAACUGGCAGACGCGCUAGACUUAGGAUCUAGUGUCUAAAGACGUGGAGGUUCGAGUCCUCUUAUCCGCACCA
Molecule: transfer RNA, 85 nt
Filed under: Oscillospiraceae bacterium
Lineage: Bacteria; Bacillati; Bacillota; Clostridia; Eubacteriales; Oscillospiraceae
Description: tRNA-Leu
Rfam family: tRNA
About the family: Transfer RNA (tRNA) molecules are approximately 80 nucleotides in length. Their secondary structure includes four short double-helical elements and three loops (D, anti-codon, and T loops).
Source: RNAcentral